CUGUUUCAACAUGACAGUAGAAGAGAAAGGGAAAUUUCUGUGAGAGAAGCGUGCGUAUUAUGAAAAGAAUUUACCACAUAUCGUGCUUUGCUUGCGUUAGCAAUUUAUACACCAUAAACAUAUUAAUGUAUACAAGAAAUGACGAUGAUCUAUUUACACCUCGAUAUCAGAUGUGACGUAUUUCGAGGGAUACGGAUAUGCGUCACGGUAAAAUCAGUAACGACAUGACAUAGUCACGAAUUAAAUUUAGGGCUUAGCCAAAUAAACUACAGACCAAGAUAACGACGGCACGUUGCGAUAUGUGCAGCUGUUUACAAAAUCUGGGUCACCUCCGCAUCGUAUUUUUAAUGUUUUCUAUGUCUUUCACUAAAUGUAUAAUUUCACUCUUACGCAGAUUCUUUAAUUGCGCCAAUGCAAGGUUGCGCGACAUUGACUCCAUUAAUGGCCAUAUGCACCUUACUAUAAAAAGCCCAGCUUAAUGUUUAAUCGCGCUUAUAUCACUAAUUUGUUAUGCACCGGUGUAAAAAUGCUCUCUAAGCUCGCUUAACGUUAAGCCUCCAUCAUGGCGGUACUACUAAUGUUUCAGGAACAACAGUGUAUCACCGAUAAAUCAACUGUUAACAACCCUUUUAUUUUAUGCCAGCAGUAGCCACCAAAUUAACAUUGCAGAUUUUAUGCAUAUGAACCAAGGUACUGUCUCGCGUGUAAUCAAAAAAGUUUCACAAGUCAUUGCUGGUCUUCGAAACCGCUUCAUAAAGAUGCCCUCGACCCCAGACGAAAUAGUUGCUAGUCAAAAUAGCUUUUACAGGGUAGCACGCUUUCCUCGCGUAAUUGGAUGUGUUGAUGGAACACUUAUAAAAAUUCGUUCUCCAGGUGGCGAAGAUGGAGAAGUGUACAGAAAUAGAAAAUCCUAUUUUUCUAUAAAUGUACAAUUAGUGUGUGACAGUACCCUAAAAAUCAUAAAUGUUGUUGCCAGAUGGCCAGGUUCGGCACAUGAUGCAACAAUAUUUAAUAACAGUCGUUUGAGGACAAGGUGUCGUGUGAGGCAGGGGAGUUCGGUACUGCUAUUCUUCUUGGUGACAGUGGAUAUGCACUUAAAGCAUACUUAUUAACACCGCUUCUGAAUCCAACAACACCAGCACAGCAAUUAUAUAAUGAGUCGCACAUUCGCACACGGAAUUGCAUCGAAAGAACAAAUGGUGUAUGGAAAAGACGUUUUCUAGCACUGUGUUACGGACUUCGGUGCCAUAUUGAUACCGCUUUAACUGUCAUUGUAGCAACAGCAGUUCUGCAUAACAUCGCGAUUAAUAUGCAUGAAGACAUGCCACCACCUCCGAAUGACAUAAAUGCGGAGGAACUGGAGUAUCUAAUUCAGCAGGGUCAGAUUGAAGCUAUACAGGGACCCCAACAUAUUAAUUACGAUUUCAGAACACACAUUGUUAAUAAUUAUUUUGCACAUUUAUAAAAUAUGUAUUUGUUACUUAACACAUUUACGUAUGUACCAGUUUAUAAUAUUAUUGUUACCUAUAUUACUAUAAGUAUAAAACAGAUAAUUACUAAUUUUCAGUGUCAAGCUCUUCAUCUCUUUUCAAUUUCCUAGUUAACAA
Long non-coding RNA from Photinus pyralis (common eastern firefly), 1607 nucleotides. RefSeq lists it as uncharacterized. The transcript is spliced from 3 exons. The record is from RefSeq and is a predicted model, not a curated record. NCBI's taxonomy places the organism in Eukaryota, Metazoa, Arthropoda, Insecta, Coleoptera, Lampyridae.